GGACCCCCAGGUGUGAGGGAAAGAGGGAGAGAGGGGGGAGGUGAGUGUGCAACGGGGUCCAGGUGUGCAAUGGGAUCUCAGUGUGCAACAGGAUCCAGGUGUGUAACGGGAUCCGUGUGUGCCAAGGGAUCCGAGUGUGCCACGGGAUCUGGACUUGAGACUGUGAAAGGAUCCGAGUGUGCAACGGGAUCUGAGUGUGCAACGGGAUCCGAGUGUGCAACGGGAUCUGGACAUGGGAAUGUGAUGGGAUCCAAGUGUGCAACGGGAUCUGGACACGGGAAUGUAACAGGAUGUGAGUGUGCAAUGGGAUCUGAAUGUGUAACAAGAUCCCAGUGUGCAACGGGAUCCAAGUGUGCAAAGGGAUCCGAGUGUGCAACGGGACCUGGAUGUGGGAAUGUAACGGGAUCCAGGUGUGCAACAGGAUCCGAGUGUGCAACAGGAUCUGAACUUAAGACUGUGAAAGGAUCCGAGUGUGCAACGAGAUCUGGGUGUGCAACGGGAUCCCACUGUGCAACAGGAUCUGUGUGCAAAAGGACCCGGAUAUGGGAGUGUGAGAGGAUCUGA
This 564-nucleotide long non-coding RNA is filed under the name Junco hyemalis (dark-eyed junco). RNAcentral's name for it is "lncRNA (ENSJHYG00000008306.1)". Lineage: Eukaryota; Metazoa; Chordata; Aves; Passeriformes; Passerellidae. The record is from RNAcentral.